UGUAAUAGGUACACAUUUUAUUAAAUUAUUCAUUAAAUUGAUUUGUGUUUAAUUAAAAACAAAAUGUUGAGCAUUCCAUCGCAAAUACAGACAAGAAAUAUACUUUUGAAAGGAGUUCCUGUGGAACAUAAUCCACUAAGUGUUGUUGGCUUGUGACACAACGGUGACUUCGAGAAGUCAUACUAGAUUCCAUGCGAGUGAGUGAGCUCACGGGGCUCUAACCUGACGACGUUGCUAACACUAGCCUUAGCAAGAGCAGUGCUUCGUAAAAUCCACUACCGGAUCGGAAUCACGAUCCACUGAGAAGACCGGCAAGAAACUGUGGGCUGUGUUUCUGGGUUAAUUUGCAAUGACGACGACCAGUGCUUGAGGUACCUAAAAGCACCGUUAGGGGAUCGGGAGGAUCUGUAAUGACGUGUUUUGGGUUUCGUCGACUGUUACCAUUCGGUCCGCAGGAUUGGGUUUGUAGUUACUGGAGGCCACGAUAAGAGGGUUCUCGUGUCGUGCCGCUUUCUCGAAAUGGGAAUAACUUCGCUCCUCAAUUGGAACAGGAGGUCCAAAAAUUUCUUGCUUCGCAUUCGAAUACUGACUAUCCUGUUAAUUUAACCUCACACAAUAUGAGAUGAAGCGUAUUGGCUGAAGAUCUUUUUAAAAACUUUUGCGAAUUAUUAAAAAUAUAUACAUACCUAGUCCCGCCAUAAGUUCUGCUACAAAUAAUAACGCAUUUUUUUUUAAUUUAGUAAUUUAAUAUUAUUAAAAUAUAUACCUAUAUGUUUAUUAGUUUCAGCAAAAAAAAAUCGGUUCGAAAUGGCCACCUUUGGCUUCUAUACAGGCCUUUAAUCACGAAUCUAUGGACUUACGCACUGUUUCCAAGGGAAAUUCGUAAAUUUGCGUAAUUACUGAUAGAGCAUAGGUGCUUGCUUCGCAUUAUUUCUGACCGGAAACAGCCGUGCCUCCCACAUUGAACGCCGAGGCACCGGAAAUACAAAACAAUUUUGACUUAAUCUAUCAGUUUUUUAUCUCUCAGGCAUUCACCUUGAUUUAUAAACUAGGUGAGCUACCGAGCUAAUGCAAACAUUAAGUGAAAUGUAAUUUUUUGUUAGGAGUUAAAACGCUGUAACUGUAAUUAAAGAAACGACAAAACUAUUUUAAUUUGCUUAUAGUGCUUACUGCUUGUAAUAUCGAACGUUCAAUUACGUGAUAAUGUGUAAUUAAACUUUAUACAUGGACCUGAUUAA
Molecule: long non-coding RNA, 1238 nt
Organism: Bombyx mori (domestic silkworm)
Lineage: Eukaryota; Metazoa; Arthropoda; Insecta; Lepidoptera; Bombycidae
Exons: 2
Source: RefSeq, a predicted model, not a curated record